UGGGAACGUGCCCAAAGGUACGGAACAACUCCGGGAAACUGGAGCUAAUACCGUAUGUGCCCGAAAGGGGGAAGAUUCAUCGCCUUUGGAUCGGCCCGCGUCUGAUUAGCUAGUUGGCGGGGUAAUGGCCCACCAAGGCGACGAUCAGUAGCUGGUCUGAGAGGAUGACCAGCCACACUGGGACUGAGACACGGCCCAGACUCCUACGGGAGGCAG
This 216-nucleotide ribosomal RNA is filed under the name uncultured bacterium. RNAcentral's name for it is "partial 16S ribosomal RNA". It matches the Rfam family "Bacterial small subunit ribosomal RNA", at positions 118 to 351 of the family's 1533-position model. The record is from RNAcentral.